RNAcentral lists this ribosomal RNA (723 nucleotides) under uncultured bacterium. Its description in RNAcentral is "bacterial SSU rRNA". It matches the Rfam family "Bacterial small subunit ribosomal RNA", at positions 20 to 733 of the family's 1533-position model. The record is from RNAcentral.
AAUUUGGGGAUGCCUGCUGGCGGCAGGCCUAACACAUGCAAGUCGAACGGCAGCACAGGGGAGCUUGCUCCUUGGGUGGCGAGUGGCGGACGGGUGAGGAAUGCGUCGGAAUCUGCCUUUUCGUGGGGGAUAACGUAGGGAAACUUACGCUAAUACCGCAUACGACCUACGGGUGAAAGCCGGGGACCUUCGGGCCUGGCGCGGAAAGAUGAGCCGACGUCGGAUUAGCUAGUUGGUGGGGUAAAGGCCUACCAAGGCGACGAUCCGUAGCUGGUUUGAGAGGACGACCAGCCACACUGGGACUGAGACACGGCCCAGACUCCUACGGGAGGCAGCAGUGGGGAAUUUUGGACAAUGGGGGCAACCCUGAUCCAGCCAUCCCGCGUGUGCGAUGAAGGCCUUCGGGUUGUAAAGCACUUUUGGCAGGGAAGAAACAGGUCUGGAUAAUACCUGGACUGAAUGACGGUACCUGCAGAAUAAGCACCGGCUAACUACGUGCCAGCAGCCGCGGUAAUACGUAGGGUGCAAGCGUUAAUCGGAAUUACUGGGCGUAAAGCGUGCGCAGGCGGUUUGACAAGAAGGAUGUGAAAUCCCCGGGCUUAACCUGGGAAUGGCAUUUUUACUGUCAGGCUAGAGUAUGUCAGAGGGUGGUAGAAUUCCCCGUGUAGCAGUGAAAUGCGUAGAUAUGUGGAGGAAAACCCAUGGCGAAGGCAGCCCCCUGGG